AGCGAACGCUGGCGGCAGGCCUAACACAUGCAAGUCGAACGAACCUUUCGGGGUUAGUGGCGGACGGGUGAGUAACACGUGGGAACGUGCCUUUAGGUUCGGAAUAACUCAGGGAAACUUGUGCUAAUACCGAAUGUGCCCUUCGGGGGAAAGAUUAAUCGCCUUUAGAGCGGCCCGCGUCUGAUUAGCUAGUUGGUUGAGGUAAUGGCUCACCAAGGCGACGAUCAGUAGCUGGUCUGAGAGGAUGAUCAGCCACAUUGGGACUGAGACACGGCCCAAACCCCAAGGGAAGGAGGAAGUGGGGAAUCUGGGGAAAUGGCGAAAGCCUGACGCAGCCAUGCCGCGUGAAUGAUGAAGGUCUUAGGAUUGUAAAAUUCUUUCACCGGGGACGAUAAUGACGGUACCCGGAGAAGAAGCCCCGGCUAACUUCGUG
Molecule: ribosomal RNA, 433 nt
Filed under: uncultured bacterium
Lineage: Bacteria
Description: partial 16S ribosomal RNA
Rfam family: Bacterial small subunit ribosomal RNA
Source: RNAcentral